GUUAACGAUGCAUUCCUUCAUGCCAAGGUUUUCACGUCUCUUUCAAUGCCAUGAUCAUAAGUUCGAGAUCCGUACAGAAGAAUCUUUAGUUCCAUACAUAGUUUCAUCCAUUCCACCUGGGGUUACAUGAUCUCACCACACUAAGACAAGUUGACAAGGAGAACACAGGCGAAUACGGGCCACUUAUUCUAUGCAGGUCUCAGAUUCUGAAAUGCACCGAGUAAAUCGAACAAAAACACACCGACAAAACAUCUUUGUAAUGACUAUGUGAUCAAGCUACCUAAUUCUGUGUAUGUUUGUGUAGGAAGUAACCUCUACACAGUUUCAAAAACAGAUUCUAGAGGUGAGUGACAUUGUCAUGGCGCAGAAGCAUCUUCGGUUCUAGCCGGUUCCAUCAAGUUGACCGUGAGAAAGAAGAUGUGCCAUGUAUUGCUGCAGACAAAUAAUGUAAUGGUAGAUUUAAUGACUAGUAAGCUCACGUAUGAGUAAUCAACCUGCUACUUCAGAGCAAGUCUGCCAUGGAUUGGGAAGUGAGAUGUGGCAUAUAUAAAGUACUUAUAACAAGUUAGAUACACAUAUGCCUCUUUAUUCUACAACCAGCUCGACAACAUUCCAACAAUUUAUCAUAACCGCAACCAUAUGUCAAAGGAACUUUGAUACUCAAUUCUGAUGAAAGCCUUUCAAAUCUAUACUGUAAUGUUCAUCCGCAAAAAUCAACAAGUUCUAAAUUUUCAAGGCAAACUGAAGCUCUAAGUAAAGGUAGAGGUGUAAGUUGACUUACCGCGUGAUAUGCAUAUGGUGAUUUCCCCUGCCGAUCAAAAUGCUUAGACAUGACGCAGAACUCAACUGGACCCCAUUCGUCUACUUCGAAGCAACUGCCAAGGGCUGCUUUGUACAACUAUGACAUCAGACAAAACAGUCAAAUCAGAUAAAAACAAUCCACCAGAUAACUGUCCCAAAUAUCAAUCUAAACUAUCAUCUGUAACAGACCUUGGCCGUGUCAGUUAAAAGCUCAGUUCCAGCAGGAUACGCCGCAUAAAACUGAUCAUCCCUAGAGAAACCUGCUCUAGUUCUGCAACACAAAGAGCAUAGAAAUCAUCACCGAAAUGCAAAUCAAAUUGAUAAAGGAAGAAUAAAAUGCCGAGCACAGAUGACAUCUAUAUGAAUGCAGUGCGCAAAAGUAAUCUCAGCCUGAUACAAAGAAAAAACUCAUCUCUAAUAGUGCGAGUACAAUUAGGCACUUCAAUUGUGAAUCCCCAAAACCAACUAAGAUAAGAGAACAGGGACAAUGAAAACCCAAAACUCAAUAAUAGCAGGAGAGAAUUGGAGGAGACGAGAACACACGUAUUAUUGGUAUAUACAUAGGUAAGGACAGCAGUGAAGACAUAGAAUCCUGUGUACGAGACUACUCUACGAAACUUCUGAACGUUCAGUAUCUCUUUGAUCCCACUGGCAAGCAUCAUGCUUUUGCAGAAGCAGCAGCACCACCCUGUAAGAGAGACGACAAGAGCUCAUCCAAGUGAGACAUUCAAUCGAAACCGUGAAAGCAAAAAUAAGCGAACCACUAAUGCUGACCAUUAAUUAGCUUAAUUAACCAGAUAACAUCGACAUAAGAACAUAAAUUAGCUGGGAUUAUCUUCAGUAAGUACAUUGGGGUUAUCAUCCCUAGUUCUUCCAACUCGCUCAUCAUUAUAACUUUCAUAGUUGUUGUGCAAUUGUUUCUUCACGUGAGCAGUAUUUGUGGACUUUGAAUCAGCCAACUAACGAUCGAUUUUCCGCUGCAAACCAUCAGAGUACAGAGAGAGGACAACCAACUUACCAGAUUAAGGAGAUGGAUUCCGAAAUGCUUAGAACAGUUUCUAUGCCCCUUCACUCUUGCAGCAGGGUCGUCGUCUUCGUCACUGCUACAACGGUGCCGUCGCCAGCCCCAAAAAGGCAAAAACCUUUGGAGAAAUAGGGAUUUUGACUUGGUCAAAUUAGUUUUGAGAGUUUAGUUUGAGUUAAUUAAGUGGGUUUGGGCCACAUGGCUUGGGGAGCCCACGUCCCAAAGGAUAUGGGCCUUCUCUGCAAUGUGGGCUAGCAAACACGAACUCGCUCAUCAGAUUUCUAGUUAGGUUUUGGGUGGUCGUAAAACUCGUCUUCCGCCACUCUUCACUACGACUGCCCGGCGGUGCUUUCUCCGAUCUCUCGCGUGGCUGGUUCUGCGAUUGUGGUUGAUGAAGCAUCGCUCGCGUUCAGGUUACUAUUUCAUCUGUUCCUGCUUUCUAGGGUAGAGUACGGUCAAUAUGCACAGGUUUCACCAUCUCCUAACUCGACUAUCUUCAACCACACUCCACACUAGUCGAUCAUUUCGUCCCCAGACAAGUCAAUUCAUUACGACCUGUGGCUUCUCUUCUGAGUCGGGAAACGGUGGCGGUGGAAGCGAAGGAAAUGAUGAAUGGGCAAAUGCUCCCGGAAGCGGGACAUUUGGUCAGACUGCAUCUGAUGAUCUAGGUUGGGACUCCGUUUCAUCAUGGUCGACUGGAUUGACCAAGGAUCAUUUCAACGGUGAGACGGUGGGGAAGAUGGCUAGUUCGUCUUCUUCAUCUUCACAGUCUCCUGUGAUAUCUGAGCUGCAAGAGAUUGACGAUAGGAUAAAAGAACUGGAUGCUGAAAACAGGAAGGGGAAAUUUUUCGUUGAUGGAUGGGAGCAGAGAUUGCUGGAGACAAGUGUGCUGUUGAAGCAAGUGGAGGAGCCUGGGGCGAGAGGAUCCUACCUUAAGGAUUCAGAGAAGGCAGAGAUGUAUCGGUUGCACAAGGAGAACCCUGAAGAGUACACUGUUGAGAGGCUUGCUAAGGAUUACAGGAUUAUGAGACAGAGGGUGCAUGCCAUUCUCUGGCUCAAGGAAGAGGAAGAGGAGGAGAGAAAGCGUGGUCGUGUUUUGGAUGACUCAGUUGAAUUGUUACUUGAUACCUGCCCAGAGUAAGUCUCAAAUUCCGACUUUAGUAUGAAUUAUUCAAACAGAAUGGUUGUUAUUAGUUGAUGCAUUACAUCACACAGUGCUUCAUACCUGCAUUUGGUCACGUUGGCUUAAAAUUUUAUAUACAGGACUUUGAAACAGAGAAUACAGUGCUCUUCUCAUGCUCUCUUGACUUGUUAUAACGAACUCACUGAUCAAAUCUCUAUUAUUCUAAGCUUGGUUUGGCAACAAGAAUCAUGAUUCUUAGGAAAGUUGAAUUGAGAUUAGUGUAAAAAAGUUGAGUUAGAAUAGGGAGGGAUUGUGGAAUGGAACUUGGAUUAAGGGAGAGAAGGAUUCCAAGUGGAAUCUGUUUCCAAAUCUAAACUUUUUUAGUAACCCUUUAUAUCUCUUGAUUUAGCAUUCCUUUCACAACCCCUCCCAACCUCAACUCAACUGUUUUCCAUUAGUCUUAACUCAACUUGUUUAUGAAUCUCGUUGCCAGAGUUCUUUGUAGGAGAAAAGGCUGAACUUGUUGUGUACGGAGAAAGAAUAGGGUGGUUACCAAUAAUUGUGUAGGAUGAGGGAAGGGAGUCAUGGUUACCCGAUAACUCAUUAUGUCAUUUUCAUUUACAUGUUGAGCUGUACUCUAUUUAAAGUGAACUCAGUUGUCGUCCGUCCAUCGUAAUAACUUUGAUACUUCCAUUGGCAGAUUCUUCAAUUCCCAUGACCGGGAAUUUCAUGUAGCAUCCCUUCCUUACAAACCUGAUUUCAAGGUGAUGCCAGAGGGAUGGGAUGGUACUAUUCGUGAUCCAGAUGAAGUUCACUAUGAGAUAUCCAAGAAAGAGGAUGACAUGCUUUACCAAGAGUUUGUCCAGAGGAUGGAAUUCAACAAAAUGAAAGUAAGCUCCCAGGGUUUUGUUCUACACCAUUUAAGUUUGUACGAAAUUAGGAAUGAACUCUAUCAGAUGCCUCUCUAAUAACUCGUCAGUCAUUUUGAUAUCUUCUUACUUAGUUCACGUACUUUCUAUUACUAUUUGUCUGCAUACAAAAAUUCUCGACAUACGUUCCUAACCCCACCGCCUCUCCUGGCCCAAUGGGACCUUGCUCGCUUGACAUUUCAUAUGAUCUGGUGCAAACAACUUGUUUAGCAUCUUCUUAAUUGAGGAGAAAUCAGGAGAUGUUAGUUCUGGCUGUUAUUUUGUGAUACAAAUUCUUGCUAAAGAUAAUGAUUAAGAACGUAACCGAUUUCCUUCACCAAGGUCAGAAGGAUCUCCUGCAGUUUGGUCAUUUCUAGUCCUUGAUUAGAUUGCUUGUUUUUCUAGCCUCCAUUAAUUAGACUCGUAAACUUUCUGAAUAGUAGAAUGAUCAUUGUAUUGUAUUUUGGUGAUUGCACAAUGCUAUUAGGCUUUAACUACUAAUGUAUCCUGACCAAACUAGUCAGACUGAAAAUACCAGAACGUUAGCUUUCAGAAAUGAGUUUAAUUCACAAGUAGCCUAGUUUCAUAUUCUGCAAAUGAGUUGUCCAAAAUGUAAGUUCUAAGUAACAGGGACUCCCGCCGGUAUAUGGUGUUUUGAAAUGAUAUGAUUUCCUUUGGUUCAGAUUGCUGGAAUGGUGAAGUGCCAUAAGUACAGUAGGCGGCGCCCAUCUGAAGGCUGGAACUUCACAGUGGAGAAAAUGGGAGCUCAAGGGAAACGUGGAGGUGGGGGUGGCUGGAAGUUUGUAAGCUUGCCAGAUGGAUCUAGCCGACCUCUAAACGAGACAGAGAAGGUAUACGUGAAAAGAGAGACUCCACGACGGAGGCGCAAGAUUUUCCCUUGAUCGAUCGAAUCUUGUACUGCUUGGGAGAAGCUGACGAAAACCUGUAGGAGAAGUUGGUAAGAGGACCAUAUAAGAACGAGAAAGUAGCUGUCUUUCCAUGCUCGCGUGAUAGUUUUGUAUUUCCAGGAGUGCAAAUCCUUAACCUUGCCACUUCACUGGGGACUACACUGUUUUCUGGGUUGCAUAUGUUGAAUUCAGCAAACAUGUGAUUUGUAUCACAAACUGUUUCCUGGGUUGCAUAUGUUGAAUUGGAUACCUGAAAACAAGUGACCCAUUUUCAAUACUGUUUUGGCGGUCUUAGGUUGUUAAAUUUUAAAGUGUUAUUUCAGUUUUCCAUUGCGACCCCUUUACUUCACUCCUACAUUGUUUUAUUUGAAAUGGAAUGUGUACUGACGAUUUCAGAGGAAAUUUGAAUGGUUGUAUAAUAAUAUGUAAUGCAAUUAGUUAUGUAUUGUUUAUCAAGUAAUAUAAUUAGGUGGGCUAGAUUUCAUGUAUGGUGUGUGGGAGUGGGUUAGUAAUCCCCUACACUUUUACUCAUUACUGUGAAGUGCGGACCUAUUCAAGAGAAUUUUCGAACAUCAAAUACGCCAAAACUCUUCGAGCGAUUAAGUUGGCAAUCGUUGGGCAAACGGAUCAUGAAGUCGAAAAUGGUUAUGUUGAAGCAGUGAAGAUUGUACUAUUUUGACUGUACCAAAAUCCGUCUCAUCGAUCCAAACCAAAACAGCAUUGCCCAUUCUAAAUUGCAAAGGUUAAAUGGAUGCAGCCAACCAAGCGACCCAGUCGUCCAUUCACAAGCAGAUGAAUUUACAACCACGAAUUCACUUCAUCAACUUCAGCACUCAAAUCACUUGCCCCUUUUUCCUACCAUUUGUCUUAGCUGAAGAGUUUGAUUGUACAGGUUCAGCAACUGCUGCUGCUGCUGCUGUUUCAUCCUCCUCAACUGGGGUGUUCCCGACCUCUAGCCGAGCCAUUAAAUCUUGAAGCUGCAAAUAAUAAUUCAAAACCCAUCUUGACCCAUACACACACACAGAAAGAGAAAAUUUGAUCUGAAAUGAGACAGCAAUUCUAACCUGUACUUCCAGUAUCUGGAUUUUGUCAUCCUUCAACUUCAGAGCCUUUUUCUCUCUGUCAAACACCACAAAUCAGUUCGGUACGAGCAGAUAUCAGACAUUUUCAAGAUCAGCAACUUUAAGGGUAGAUAUCAAAACUAUCACUCUAAUUAAGAAACAAAACUCAAUAGGAUAACUAUUGUAAAAAAAAAACUCAAUAGGAUAACCAUAAUAAGAAUUGGAAUACAAUUUACAUCUACUCUACACAAACUAUGAUUCUGGUAUGCAUCAAAUGAAAACAAUUAUCGUAAAAGACAAAAAAUACCUCUCCUCCAUCUCAGCUAUCUUCACUUUCCAGAUCUCCUUGUUUUUCAGCAGAUUUUCAUUGAGCUACAAAAACCGAGAGACGAGUCAUGUCAUUUUUUUAAGAAGUAAAGACUAUAAAAUUAUUCUAGCCUUUUUUUCAAGCCAAGCAAAGAACAUUGAGACUUACUUCAUCAAGAAACUUCUUCUCCCUGGUACAUUUUUCAAACCUGGCCUGUAAUUUUUGUAGUUUUGAAUUGACAACCUUCUUAACAGCUUCAGACUUUUUUCUAUCAGUUUCUUCCUUCACCUCUUGUAGUAAAGUCUCAAAAUACUGCACAUUCAUACAAGUACGGUGAUUCAAAUGUGAUUGCUUGAAGAUCAAUACCUCAAAGAAUAAAAGGAGAAAACAUAAGGAAGAGUCCAGUGACACAGACGAUUGUAAACCUAUAUUACAAAAUUAUACAACACCAGACAUGUACCUGCUUCUGGUUUUCAAGUUGCGUAGCCAGGAGUUCAUCAUACUCACUAACAAUCUGCACACAGCAAUCCAAUAACGUUGCAUCAACAUACUAAAAAUAAGAACAAACGCAAAUGAUUUAAAUCCUUGCUAUGUGGAGAAAAAAUUUACUGCUUCAACUUUGCUGCCUAACAGAGUCUCAUUGAUUCCUGAGUUCACACAGCUACAACCAUCACCAGCACGCGCACAAUGGGUAUGCAACUCAACUAACUUUCCAUCAGUUUUUGAUUGAAUUAGUCUGUGAACGUAAUUAUCACCGGCAUAAUCCCAUACUCGCUGUGUUUCCAAUUCAAGAGAAUAGCAGUGUUCUGUUUCUUUCCAAUGUCUUACAGCAUGUCCUUCCAUAUUCCUACAAAUUUAUGACCGUCAGUGAAGAUAACCAAACUAUAUAAAAGUAUGCAAACAAGGCCUUGUACAAAACAUAGCCUUAGUCAAGUUAAGCGAAACAAUUACCCCUACCUUCCACAACCAACAAAACCGCAGAUUACACACAUCCAUAGAUUCUCAGAAGUCUGACAUAUAAAACAUACAGAUUUCUCCGGCUGUUGCUGACAAUAUCGACAAACCUGGAAUAAAAAAAUCUUACAUAGUAAGUAUUUAUAAUUCAAGAAUAAGUCCACGAAAUUCAAGGAACACAUUUAUGUGAAAUCUACCUGCAAACCAUAAGGAACACAUAGGACAGUAGUUACAUGAAAAAUGUACAGUGAAGUUGGUAAGACUUACUGGGCAAGAUGAGUCAGCCCAUUUUGAGAUGCAAGAGCAGUGAAAUGAAUGAUUGCAUAUGGUUGUAAGAAUUCCACCCAUGUCUUGGUCUAGUCUCUCUGUUACAUAGAGAAAGUAUAAGAGCACAAAGUUACUAAAUUUCAGAGAGCUAUCUCUAAGAUAAAAAUAACAAGCAUAAGAUUGAGCUUUCACAAAGGGCAGCAACAGUUACGAGAUAUAGCAGAAAAACAUAGGGCCUAGAGAAGCUGUCUAUAUUUUGAGGGUUUCAUCGAUUUUUCUAAUGAGAUCUAACAUCCUCCUACAUUGCAGUUACAGUUCCUCUCACAUCAUUAUAAUGCUCAUACAGGUCUACAGAUUUCCAAAGUUAUGUAAAUGAUUUACCGAAUUGGCGUUUAGGCAAGCCAAACUGAAAUUUAAUUCACUUGUGCAUUUUUCUUUUUCAUGAAACAAUUGUAUCUUCAGAGCAUACUUGUAGGCAGUCCCUCCCAAUAUACUUGCCCUAACUUUAACGUUGCAGUAGCCUUACCAAUGUCAAACUAAUUGAGUCCAGAGGUUGGAAUAGGCUUUUGGAUCUAUGACAUGACAUUCUUGGUUUACAGCAACUACACAUUUAAGUGGAUCAAAAUUUAUUCUUCGGAUUUGUAAUUUUGAAUGAAUUAUGGCAUUUUCUGUCCUUACGUGAACUUUGUGGGAUAAGAUUAGAAAUAUCUCUCUAUGUUUUACCAUAAUGUGCUCAAGUAAGUAGCAAGCAGAACAUAGACAAGUCAUGAAAUAGUAAACAGGACAUGGUUGAGAUCAGCUAACUAUACCGAGACAAACUGGACAAGAAGACUGCUCAGCUGUGCUUGUUGGUGAAUGCUGACUAUGUUCAAGAGAACCACUAUAACCAGUGAACUGCACAUCAAUGGUAAAACAAACGCGACAAACUUCUUCCUGCAGAAACAGAAAGAACCGGUUAAAAUAAGUAUAGUCCUUCUGACAAUAAGAGCUUAAACUCACACGAAGUCAAGAACACUAGAACAAACUGUACCUCUAAAGAGUUGAAUUCUCUACCAUUGAAGUGCAGGUAAAAUUUAUCAGUAGAGUCUUGAUUUUGAAAUCUCAUCAAAAUACUAUAUCUAUCUUCCAUCUCGUCGUUCCUUCAACGGUCAAUGAAACCACAAGAAAGAAAGUAUGUUCAGGAGGAUAAAACAACGCUUGGAGCUCAAAUAAUUAGUAAUCAUACAUUUUCCAAAAUGCUCGAGACAAAAAGAAUGGUUGUGAUUGUUACCUGACGAUCCGCAUCUCCAAGAUGUUUCGAGUAAAAGAGCCACAGAACUUGCAAAAAUCAGCAUACGUCAUGUGAUUUGGCACCCCAAUCACCGAAACUAGAGGCUUCCUUCCAAUCUAAUCAAGCAGAAAAAGAACUUAGAGUUGAGUUCAGUAAUCAAAGCAUGUCUUAAGAGUAAACUCUUCCAAAACAGAUAAUCACAACCAAAGAAAAUUGGAACGGAGAAGCAUCACCGUACAGGAAGAUGGGAAGGAGAGUCUUCAGAGAAAAGAUGCAUGAUCCCUCGCGUCUCUUCGAUCCUGGGGUUUCCGGAGGAAAAAUGGAAGGUUUGAGUCCGAGUAGUGGAAGACGAAGUUGAUGGGGAGGUUUCUAUAGUGUCGCCGGAGACGACGGCAGAAACUGGUUGCCGCAAGUGAUCGGGAGGCGAGCUUCCUCCAGGAAUUGACAUGCUUGAGCUUGUAGAGGACAUGUCUGUGAACUUCGAUUGGGAAGACAUCUGAUGAGGGAUUCAGAAUGAUCAGAGAAUCAAGUUAGCUGAAAGUGACGAGACAGAAAAUGGACGGGAAAGGUAGGAAACUGAACUUUUAGGAUCAAAGCUGGAAAAAAAUUCUGCGAGCAAAGAACCGUUUCCUGCCGGGAUCUAGUUUCUGGAGAUGAGUCGUUUUGCGUAUCAAGAAAUGACUUUGGGCCGGUUUAACUCGAUCCAGAGUCUAACUUUAGCCCAGUUUGUUACCAAUCGUUCAAUGUGUUCAUUUCUAAUAGCAAUAACCAUUCUGGUUGUUAACAAGAUGGUAAACAACGGGCCAUAAAAUAUAUUUCAAAUAGUUGGCCAUAAAAGAGGCAUUGAUUUUACGAAAUCAUAUGGUUUAGGGAUUAUUUGUUUUCGAGGUUUUUUUUAAUAAAUCAAAGAUGAUCGUUUCAUUAGAGCAAACAUUUGAGUGAUUACACUAGUAUAAUUGGAAGCCACUUUCUAAUAAGGUCACAAAGGAGAAACAUGUAACUAGUGUGGUUAGAGUACUUCGCAUCUUCAAUAUUCACGAUCAUAAUUUGCUUUAAACUCGAAAAAUUAGGCAUAUAUAAUUACUACCUCCGACUCAAAAGACACCGAAACUACGACAAAGUAAGACAACGUUCAUCAAAACCAACUCAACAAUUCAAACAAUACAACAAAUUAAGAAAAUAAAGGGGUAGUGGGUCACACAGUCGCCCAUGGUGGAAGGACCGGUAAUCCACCGGGCUUUAGCCUUUAGAGAUUUGGGAGAUUUGGACGAGUCAUCUCCAGCUGACUCGCCUGUACUUCAAAGUCUGAAAUCUCUUUGGUGACUUUGUUGACCGUUGACUAAGUACCUCCUCGCCAGUGUCAUCCUCAGGCGAAAAACCUUCACAUCCUCCCUUGCAAGCCCCUGUAACAUCAAGCAUAUAUGGCCGCAUCUUCACCACUACGAUGAUAACCAAACGCAUUGUAGGUUUUUGGCACCGUUCGUUUCGUACUCAGUGUGCCUUUAUCCACCUUCAAGUCGUUCGUUGUCUUAAAAUUCCUGCUGUUAUCCUUGUACCUUGUGUCCACCUUCUCCUUGUCUUCUUCUGCCCCGGGUUUAUUUAGCCAUUUAGCCGUUAUACAAUCCAGGUCAGAUUGGUCCUUAACACAAAGAAAAUCUCUCCAUUUUCGCGCAACCUAAUUCGUCGGGAUUGUGAACAACAAGUCGCAGUAUUUAUCUGCGUGUCCUUUAAUUUCAGAGAUAUAACAGAAAUUCUGAAGACGUUCAUAUCGGUACUUGCAUGUGGCGUUAAUCGCUCCAUCAAGUCUGACUUUCUUUUCUCUUCGAAGCGGUUUGCGGAUAUCGAGCUCCACCAAAAUUCGGAGAGAAACUCCUGCUUGUGAUUUCUUAUGAUGGGUGGGUCGUAUUCAUGGUAUUUGCCCGCAGAAUUUCCAGGAACUCACUUACAGAUUCAGAAAAAUACCCCCAUAAAAGAUCGUGGAUUUGAAUCCAGACAAGGACUCGAUACAGGUCUACCUGUUUCGACUCUUCACCUACCUGGAGUUCAUGCAGGAUCAAGAGGCUGCCAUGAUAGUGCCAUGGUCUGUCCUUUAGAAUUUUUUGUAUAUCCAGUUUAUGAUGAACGCGAAACAGAUAUCGGCCGCCUCACAGAUUCUCCACUACCACUGUGCUACCCUGCUUCCACCUGAUAUCCAUGGUGUGUUUCAUUGCCUGAAAGUUGACUUGCUUGUCUCCUAGGAAAGAUUCAACCAAACAGAGAGGGUAGGCAUGAGGUGGCGGGGUGGGUACUAGUUCCGUUAAGUGGGACUCCUCGUCGUCGCUUUCCGCCAAACUCAGAUUCUCGACUUGGAUUGUGACAAGAUCAUCGGGAUGUGCUAUAUACCGACGAGAAAAGCCUUCUUCAUUUGUUCAUUGAAGUCAUUGAUGGCUCCAACAUAUUUCCUUGUUAUAAUUAGAUCAUCGACGUAGGUUCUGUUGCAGUCUGACCCUCUUGCUUUCAAUAUCAGUUGAAACUGUUUCAACAAGAAAAUAUGAUUAAGCUCCCUUUAUAACGUUCAGAGUUAGUUCAGUACCUGUAUGUACUUAGCAUAGAAUGCAUGCAACAAGAGACCACUAAUUCAGGACAUGCAUGCAUCAUUCAUUCUUCAGAAGCUUCAAUCUCAGUAAACAAACACAAGUAGUUUAUUGAGUUAACACAAUCAGCAAUGAAUCUUUUCAGUCACAAAGAAACAGAAAAGUAACUUUAAAUGACAACUCGACAACCUUAAACACACAGAGUCUUAGACGUCGAUUCGUGCCUCUUGAUCGACUCUGUUAGGCUCUAGCUUUACUCCAGCAUCCAGAGUUGUCCAAUCAAGCCUUCAAUCGAUGCAGCUCCAGCUUCAGUCGUGCAGAAAUCCUUCAGACGAAACUCCAAGCUUUGACGUGUUUAUCUCCAGUUGAGAAGCGCAUCGGGACGAUUUGCAGCCUUUGGCUUUUAUCGACGUCGUGGCUUGCCUUCAUUCAGAAGCGCACCGGGACGAUUUACAGCCUCUGGCUUUCAUCGACGUCGUGGCUUGCCUUCAUUUAAUGAAGCUAGUAAGGUCGAAGCUUCCCUCUUUCCAAACUCGACUUCGAGUUCUUCGCAUCGCGGCCGCCUUCUCCUUUUUGUUUCUGUGAAUGAAAAUGCCAAUUAGGGUUAGGAUCAAUUCACGACGCUAAUGUUCGCUGCUUCUCUUGAAUGACAGCUUGGGUUGGGCUUCUGUCAGUGGGCUGUUCAUGGGCCGAAACUUGAGCCUUAUCACUCAGGCUUGGUUUACGUCAACAAGCUCCCCCUAAGCCUGAUGAUGGCUCACUCCUUGCACAAAGAUUCAUUAUAUGAUCUUUAUGAUAUUGAUUUCGGGAUCCUGCAAAAACCAGUCUUUGUAUAUGCCAUUAAGUGACCAUGAUAAUGAGCAAUAGUACUGGGGACCUUUAGAUAAAAAGAUAAACUACAUUGAAUUUAACAGCAGCAAAAAUAUAAAGCAGAGAACUGCGACAGGAACAUAAUCAGUGUUUAACCGAUCCUGGAAAUGAGCAACAGUACUGGUAACUUUUAGAUAAAAAGAUAAACUACUUUGAAAUUAACUGCAGCAGAAACAUAAAGUAGAGAACUGCUACAAGAACAAAAAGCAUAUACAAAAGAAAUUCUAGAACAGCAACACAAACAUGAAACAAGACAUAGCACCAAACGAACAAUCCCUAUCAGGUAUCAAAGACCUAGCUACAUGCCACUGGUUGGAGAAUGACUAGACAGAGAAAGAUCAUCAGCACCAGCUGCAUCAAGGCCUUCCUGAAUUUCCAGGUUUCGUUCAAUCUCAUUCGCAAGGUUAUCUACUUCAUCGUCUGAAAAGUUGAGGUCAUGAAGAGGUUCUCCCCCUGAGCCAGAGGCAGGUUGAAGAUGAUCCCAACCAACUUCACGAAGCACGUGACUCGGACGAAGAUUGUGCAGAGGAGCCUCAAGAGAAAAAACACCAUGAAUAGGGACACCGAGGGCAUAGAGAAGAUAGGAGAUGUCAGGCCCAAAAGGAAGAUCUCCAGGAAAGGCACGAUUCCCAUAAGAAACCAUAGAAGCAAACAUUAGGCAGCUGUAAUCUGUUUGAAAAUUGAAGAUGGCACAAUGCAUGAUCCAAGUGUCCAGACUCGUAACUAGAAAUUUCCCAGCUGAUCGAGGAAGAAAGACCCUGGUAAUAAAGAAAUGAAGGACUUUCAAAUAGUCGGACAGCAUGGAGAUGAUGGAGAGAGGUCGAGCUGUAGGAGGAGCAUUGGUCCAUCGAGCAAGGACAACAGAAGCAUCAAAGGGAAUUUUACAGAGAUCAGAGUCAUGAAAAAUUGAAGCACCCCCAGAAGGAAUUCCAAGAACAGUUGAGAGGAGUCGAGGAGUGAUUACAAUGCGAUAUCCUGCAACGAUGGUACUGAAUCGCCCGUCCUGUAGAGAGCCUUCCAGCUGUAGGUUAACAUAGAAUUGUCGAACUGCAGCAGGGAAGAACUGAUGACGUUGAUGGAGGGCAAGAGACCCCCAUCCAAGAUUCCCAAUAAGAGCAGAGGGAUUAAGACCAUAACGAUCAAAGGAGGCUGGAUCGACAUGAACAGAUGGAAGAAUAGGACGAUCAAUGAAAGAUUCAAGAUAAAAAGCCUGAUGUUCACAACUACGCAUAUGAUCGUUAAUGAAGAGUACAUGGCUCCGAGCUAGAGAAGACAACAUAUGAUUGUAUGAAUUCAUGAUUCGGGACAGAAAAGAAUGAGAAGGAAAGGUGGAGAAGGAGAGCUAUAUAAAGAGAAAUAGAAAUCCGAAUUCCGUUAGGCACAAGGAAAAGGAUCCGAUACUGAAUCGGAAAAGGACAAGGAUCAGUAAAUAGGAAAAGUAAAUAUGCACAAGUUCAAAACGGAGACGAAUGGAAAACUAAAUAAGAGAAGCUAUGCCUGGUAUACAAAAUAGGAGAAAUCAGAUGUGUAGUUUUAGUGAUUCACAGACAGAAAAAUUUUAAGCACGUACCUCGAUGGUGGCCACAUCGGCUAGUGAGAUGAUACCUAAAGACUUUCGGAGAAAUAGAAAUCGAUCAAUAGGCAAAGGUUUAGUAAAAAUGUCUGCCAACUGUGAUUCAGUAGCUAUAAAUGUAAGUUCAAUUUCUUUACUAGCGACAAGAUCUCGAAUGAAAUGAUGCCUAAUAUCUGUAUGCUUGGUACGAGAAUGGUACACAGCGUUUUUUGUCAUAUUGAUGGCACUAGUAUUGUCACAUAAAAGAGGAGUGGUGGAUAGAGAAACUCCAAAAUCUCGAAGUUGAGCUUUUAACCACAGGAUUUGUGUGCAGCAACUUCCAGCAGCAACAUAUUCUGCUUCAGCAGUAGAUAAUGCAAUGGAGCUUUGUUUUUUACUAAACCAAGAAACAAGAGAAGCUCCUAGAAACUGACACGUACCAGACGUGCUUUUGCGAUCAACGACAUUGCCAGCAAAAUCAGAAUCGGAAAAGCCUAUCAGGUCCAUAGAUCCCUCAGCAGGAUACCACAGUCCCAAUUCAAGAGUUCCAGAGAGAUAUCUAAAAAUUCUUUUUACAGUCUUUAGAUGAGUGUCAUGAGGUUUACUUUGAAAACGAGCACAAACACCUACACUAAAUGCAAUGUCAGGUCUGCUAGCAGUGAGAUAGAGAAGAGAUCCUAUCAUUCCUCGAUUUAAUUUCUCGUUAACAGGUUUUCCAGGAGCAUCAUUAUGUAUUUUAACAGAAGUGGGCAUUGGAGUAGCACAAUUUUUUAUUAAGGGAUAGUCAAACUUGGUUAGCAUAUUUUUACAAUAUUUAGUCUGACUCAGAAAAAUACCAGAUUGAGUUUGCUUGAUUUGCAAUCCCAUAAAGGAAGAAAGUUCCCCAAUUAAGCUCAUUUCAAAUGCGUCCUGCAUUGUUUUACUAAAUUCCAUACUUAGACUUUCGUUUUGUGAACCAAAAAUGAUAUCAUCAACAUAUACUUGAACAAUAAGAAGACAGGAUUCUACUGUUUUUAUAAAAAGUGUGUUGUCCACUAAACCUCUGGUGAACCCGUGAGAAAUUAGAAAUGAACUUAGUUUGUCGUACCAGGCUCUAGGAGCCUGUUUUAAACCAUAUAGAGCCUUAUUUAGUUUAUACACGUGAUGAGGAAAUGCAUGAUUUUCAAAACCAGGUGGUUGAGAGACAUAAACUUGUUCUUGUAAAUCCCCAUUUAGAAAGGCAUUUUUAACAUCCAUUUGAUAAAGCUUGAAACGAUUUAUACUGGCAAACGCACACAAAAGACGAAUGGCUUCUAGUCUAGCUAAUGGAGCAAAAGUUUCAUCAAAAUCAAUACCUUCCUCUUGAUCGUAUCCUUGACCAACUAGCCUAGCCUUGUUUUUUAUUAUAACUCCCUUAUUGUCAGUUUUGUUUCUAAAUACCCAUUUAGUUCCUAGAAUUGUUCUAUUUGUAGGCUUAGGAACAAGACUCCAGACACACAAUCUAUCAAACUGAACCAUCUCCUCAUUCAUAGCUAGAUUCCAGUCAUCAUCUAAUAAGGCUUCUUUCACAUUUUUUGGUUCUAAAAUUGACACAAAUGCAGAAUGAGAUGUUUGGGAGCGAGUAAUUAGACGAUCGUUAAUAUUUCCGAUUACCUGGGUAGGAGGAUGUCUCUUCUGUAUGUGCUGGGGAACUUGAAGCUGAUCCUGUGUGUUUGUUUGAGGGGAUGAUGUCUCACGGUUUCCAUCAUUGAGAGUGUUGGCUUCCUGAUGUGUGUUCAGCUCUGCUUCAGAGUGAUCAGUCUGGCCAGUAUUUGUUUGUGAUUGGAGCCUGGGGGCGUAGUUAGUAUAAGACAGUUCUAUAGUAUCAUCAUUAGCUCCCUGCACCUCAUGAACAGAAUUAGUAUUCUCAUCAAAUAUCACAUUAACUGAUUCUUCCACUUUAUUAGAUUGCUUAUUGAAGACUCUAUAAGCUCGACUGUGAGCAGAGUAGCCUAGAAAGAUCCCUUCAUCUGAUUUAGCGUCAAAUUUACCUAGGUGAUCUUUAGUGUUAAGGAUAAAGCAUUUGCAUCCAAAAGGCUUAAAAUAUCCUAUACUAGGUUUUUUAUUUUUCCAGAGCUCAUAAGGAGUUUUAUUAUACUUGGAACGAAUGAGAGCCCUAUUUGUAACAUAGCAGGCUGUGUUAACAGCUUCUGCCCAGAAUUUAGAACUAACGACAAAGUCAUUUAACAUGGUUCUAGCGAUUUCUAUUAAGGUUCUAUUUUUUCGUUCAACUACUCCAUUUUGUUGAGGAGUCCUUGGAGCUGAAAAGUUAUGCUCAAUUCCUAGAGAUACACACAAAUUAUUGAAUUCUUGAUUUACGAAUUCUCCACCAUUAUCACUACGAAUUUUAACAAUAGUUUGCUGUUUCUCGUUUUGAACAGUUGAGACAAAUACCCUAAAUUUGUGAAAAGUUUCAUUUUUAGAUGAAAGAAAGUAGACCCAAGUAAAUCUUGAAAAAUCAUCGACUAAGACAAAACCAUAGUAUUUUCCACUUAUAGCCAUACAGUUUGAGGGUCCAAACAGAUCAAGAUGAAUACAGUUUGAGGGUCCAAACAGAUCAAGAUGAAUACAGUUUGAGGGUCCAAACAGAUCAAGAUGAAUACAGUUUGAGGGUCCAAACAGAUCAAGAUGAAUACAGUUUGAGGGUCCAAACAGAUCAAGAUGAAUACAGUUUGAGGGUCCAAACAGAUCAAGAUGAAUACAGUUUGAGGGUCCAAACAGAUCAAGAUGAAUACAGUUUGAGGGUCCAAACAGAUCAAGAUGAAUACAGUUUGAGGGUCCAAACAGAUCAAGAUGAAUACAGUUUGAGGGUCCAAACAGAUCAAGAUGAAUACAGUUUGAGGGUCCAAACAGAUCAAGAUGAAUACAGUUUGAGGGUCCAAACAGAUCAAGAUGAAUACAGUUUGAGGGUCCAAACAGAUCAAGAUGAAUACAGUUUGAGGGUCCAAACAGAUCAAGAUGAAUACAGUUUGAGGGUCCAAACAGAUCAAGAUGAAGUAAUUCUAGAGUUCGAGAGGUGGUUACAUCAAUUUUAGAUUUGAAACU
RNAcentral lists this long non-coding RNA (16681 nucleotides) under Linum usitatissimum (flax). RNAcentral's name for it is "long non-coding RNA (LUSI_LNC003925)". The record is from RNAcentral. Lineage: Eukaryota; Viridiplantae; Streptophyta; Magnoliopsida; Malpighiales; Linaceae.